Molecule: transfer RNA, 65 nt
Filed under: Coleoptera sp. 1 KM-2017
Lineage: Eukaryota; Metazoa; Arthropoda; Insecta; Coleoptera
Description: tRNA-Pro
Source: RNAcentral
CAAUAAGUAGUUUAAAUUAAAAUAUUAAUUUUGGAGAUUAAUGAUGAGAGAUUUCUUUUUAUUGA